This 377-nucleotide ribosomal RNA is filed under the name Hymenochaete orientalis. RNAcentral describes it as "eukaryotic LSU rRNA". The stretch from base 1 to 146 matches the Rfam family "5.8S ribosomal RNA". Lineage: Eukaryota; Fungi; Basidiomycota; Agaricomycetes; Hymenochaetales; Hymenochaetaceae. The record is from RNAcentral.
ACAACGGAUCUCUUGGCUCUCGCAUCGAUGAAGAACGCAGCGAAAUGCGAUAAGUAAUGUGAAUUGCAGAAUUCAGUGAAUCAUCGAAUCUUUGAACGCACCUUGCGCCCUUUGGUAUUCCGAAGGGCACGCCUGUUUGAGUGUCAUGUUCAUCUCAAUCCUUCCGCUUUUUAAUUAAGGCUGCUUGGAUUGGAUUUGGGAGUCUGCUGGCCUGAAAGGGUCUGCUCUCCUUGAAUGCAUGAGUGAGCGUCUGGCUCGCGUUGCUGGUGUGAUAGUCUUUCAUCAUUAGCGGCGCUUGCCUAAAGGGCUUGCUUUCGAACCGUCUUCUCAACGGAGACACUAUAAUUGACCAAUUUGACCUCAAAUCAGGUGGGACU